This 23-nucleotide non-coding RNA is filed under the name Mus musculus (house mouse). The record is from RNAcentral. Lineage: Eukaryota; Metazoa; Chordata; Mammalia; Rodentia; Muridae.
CGAUCGGUCGGGUCGGUUGUCUG